GUUGCUCAAAAUUCUUUGCACAGACCAGCAGUACUUCUUCAUCUUUCCAGUUUGCAGCUCUUAGAUGGAGUGAUGGUAACUCUGGAGGAGCGGACCAGGGCUGAGCUCUUAAAAGCAGAUCCAGCACAAUGCUCUCAAGUCGUUGGAGCGUCUUUCUCUACCACGGAAUUCAACCUGCCAGGGCUGCCCCCACUUCUGGCUUAUAACACGACUAUUAAAGGAAUAAGCAUAAAUGGCAGACCACAAAACCUCAUGCACGGACAUGAAACACUGACAGGCAAAAAGCACAAGCACGGUAAUGCUGGUCGAAGCAGCCAAACUGACUAUAACAUCAGACACAGUCGAAGAACGGGAAGUAACCCACCAGCAAGCCGCGUCCUGUUAGAGGGAAACAGAACUGCAAAUUCAAAAAAGGAGCCAGACACCAGAUGUUCAUUUGAUGACAAACAUCAACACAUGUAGCUUGCUGAGAUGGUGGGUCAUUCAGGAAACACAGUCCGAGUGCAAGAUCACACCCCAACGUCUGAGCUUUAAUUUAAAAACAAUCAUUUUUGUUAGCAUUUAUGGUGAGAAAUUGCAUGUGUCUUUCAGUUUUCUUAAGUACCAAUAAAUCUCUUUAGCUUUGAUAUAAUCAUGUGAAUAUUUUUGUUGAUUUAAAUAAUUUGCUGCUAUUACAUUAAAUUGGUUAAAACGUUAACGUGAGAUAAAUAAAAGUGUAUCUAUAGGAGGAAAUCCUGC
RNAcentral lists this long non-coding RNA (738 nucleotides) under Oryzias sinensis (Chinese medaka). RNAcentral describes it as "lncRNA (ENSOSIG00000007120.1)". Lineage: Eukaryota; Metazoa; Chordata; Actinopteri; Beloniformes; Adrianichthyidae. The record is from RNAcentral.